UGUAUGUGUAUGUCACCUGGUCUGACUCCGUGGGUUCCACACCUGCUGCUGAUCACCGGCUCACCUGGCAUCAAUCUUUCAUCAGUCUCCACAGUUAAAUACCAGGCUCUCCCACAACACCAAGGCCAGAUCGUCCACGUACUCUAGAUUAUUCUGUGCUGGUGAUUGCAGUCGUCUCUGCUCCUGUCUGGAUUCCUGUUUGCCUGCCUGCCUCUCCUAUGCUCCACUGUGCUUCCUCCCACCUACCUCUCCACGGAGCCAGACUCGGGGAAACCGUCCUGCUCUGUGUUCGUGUUCACGCUGACGGUCGACACCCUAAGGUUACCAUUACCUUUCCCGUUACCUACGGAGACAACACAGAAGACUCCGCUCUGAAGAUCUUCCCCCUUUCCCUCUCCACCUUUUGCUUGGCAAUAGAGUGACUUAAUUCAUUAUCGCUCGUGGGUUCUACCAUUAGAUCGUACUGACGUAUCUUCCUGUUACAGAUAACAGCUCAGAUAAAAAUCAAAGACUAAGUCAUUGACACAAUGUGUGCCUCCUGAGUGGUUGAUGCCCCAGUGUGCUCAAAAACAAAUGUUCAUGGUACACAUGGCCCAGUUUAGAUCAAGUAAAAAGGCAUAUGAAUGUAUUUAUUUUGGGGCACAUUUCUAAUGUUAUAAGAAUUAAUUGAACCUAUUUGAAUUCAUUUUGACAUGUUCAAUACUGUUGUCUUGCAUUAAAAAUCUUAUUUCUCCCUUU
Siniperca chuatsi (mandarin fish) is the source of this 738-nucleotide long non-coding RNA. RefSeq lists it as uncharacterized. The transcript has 2 exons. The record is from RefSeq and is a predicted model, not a curated record. NCBI's taxonomy places the organism in Eukaryota, Metazoa, Chordata, Actinopteri, Centrarchiformes, Sinipercidae.